RNAcentral lists this ribosomal RNA (497 nucleotides) under uncultured bacterium. RNAcentral describes it as "partial 16S ribosomal RNA". It matches the Rfam family "Bacterial small subunit ribosomal RNA", at positions 28 to 507 of the family's 1533-position model. The record is from RNAcentral.
GACGAACGCUGGCGGCGUGCCUAAUACAUGCAAGUUGAGCGCUGAAGGUUGGUACUUGUCCCAACUGGAUGAGCAGCGAACGGGUGAGUAACGCGUGGGGAAUCUGCCUUUGAGCGGGGGACAACAUUUGGAAACGAAUGCUAAUACCGCAUAAAAACUUUAAACACAAGUUUUAAGUUUGAAAGAUGCAAUUGCAUCACUCAAAGAUGAUCCCGCGUUGUAUUAGCUAGUUGGUGAGGUAAAGGCUCACCAAGGCGAUGAUACAUAGCCGACCUGAGAGGGGGAUCGGCCACAUUGGGAACGGGACACGGCCCAAACCCCUACGGGAGGCAGCAGUAGGGAAUCUUCGGAAAUGGACGAAAGUCUGACCGAGCAACGCCGCGUGAGUGAAGAAGGUUUUCGGAUCGUAAAACUCUGUUGGUAGAGAAGAACGUUGGUGAGAGUGGAAAGCUCAUCAAGUGACGGUAACUACACAGAAAGGGACGGCUAACUACGUG